AACGAACGCUGGCGGCAUGCCUAACACAUGCAAGUCGAACGAGACCUUCGGGUCUAGUGGCGCACGGGUGCGUAACGCGUGGGAAUCUGCCCUUGGGUUCGGAACAACAGUUGGAAACGACUGCUAAUACCGGAUGAUGACUUCGGUCCAAAGAUUUAUCGCCCAGGGAUGAGCCCGCGUAGGAUUAGCUUGUUGGUGAGGUAAAAGCUCACCAAGGCGACGAUCCUUAGCUGGUCUGUGAGGAUGAUCAGCCACACUGGGACUGAGACACGGCCCAGACUCCUACGGGAGGCAGCAGUGGGGAAUAUUGGACAAUGGGCGAAAGCCUGAUCCAGCAAUGCCGCGUGAGUGAUGAAGGCCUUAGGGUUGUAAAGCUCUUUUACCCGGGAUGAUAAUGACAGUACCGGGAGAAUAAGCCCCGGCUAACUCCGUGCCGGCAGCCGCCGUAA
This 449-nucleotide ribosomal RNA is filed under the name uncultured bacterium. Its description in RNAcentral is "partial 16S ribosomal RNA". It matches the Rfam family "Bacterial small subunit ribosomal RNA", at positions 29 to 523 of the family's 1533-position model. The record is from RNAcentral.